Molecule: long non-coding RNA, 780 nt
Filed under: Rattus norvegicus (Norway rat)
Lineage: Eukaryota; Metazoa; Chordata; Mammalia; Rodentia; Muridae
Description: long non-coding RNA NONRATT011754
Source: RNAcentral
AAGCCCCAUGCUAGUUCCCAGGCUAGACCAGCUAACUCACCUUCCUCUCACCAAAAGGUAAGUCCUUAUAACAGACUGUGUACUCUGUCUAUCCCAGGAGAUGCUCACACAGCAGUUAAGAGUUCCAGUAAGCAUUCCUCUGCACCCAUGGAGCACUCUCAGUCAGUGGGUUCACUGCAUGCUCACAUCUGCUGCAGAAACAUGGGAGGAGGAGACACUGGGCCACACCCCAAAGGGGCUCUGCCCCUUGUAACCAAACUGGGUGCAGAUCAUUUGCAGCUUCUGGCUCCUGCCACCCACCAUAUUUGACUACAAACUUCAGAGUCCACAUCUCCAGCCAUUUCUCUCCUCUACCCACUCUACUCACUCCUCCCUCAGCUGAGUGUCUUCCCAGAGCUGCCUGCCCUGUCUAGAGCCUGCCACAAAAGUCAGACCAGUUUGCCAUGCAAGCCUCCCUAUACCACCUUGGUCACCAUCAACGUGGACAAGGGACACCCUUGGCGGUGCCCUUAGAUUGAGACACUGUCCUAUGGUGCUUAUCCCUUCCUUCCCUGUGUCUCAUCCCUGUGCUAUUGGAAUCCUCCCUUGGGUGAAGUGCUGUUUACAGACCCUUCCCCAAGUCUCUCCUAAGUCCUCCUCGCUCUGCUCCUGGAAAUUCUUUGCUGCUCCCCUUUAAGGAUGCCUUCCUUCCUGUUUGGACUGUCUGCUUUCUCUGGUUUGCCUGCUGGAGCCUGACCUGACCACGAGUCCUAAUUACACGUCGGCUCCUCUCUCCUGCCU